Molecule: ribosomal RNA, 1443 nt
Filed under: uncultured organism
Description: SSU rRNA
Rfam family: Bacterial small subunit ribosomal RNA
Source: RNAcentral
GAACGCUAGCGACAGGCUUAACACAUGCGAGUCGAGGGGCAGCACAGGUAGCAAUACCGGGUGGCGACCGGCGCACGGGUGAGUAACGCGUAUGCAACUUACCUGUCAGAGGGGGAUAACCCGGCGAAAGUCGGACUAAUACCGCAUGAAGCAGGGGCCCCGCAUGGGGAUAUUUGCUAAAGAUUCAUCGCUGAUAGAUAGGCAUGCGUUCCAUUAGGCAGUUGGCGGGGUAACGGCCCACCAAACCGACGAUGGAUAGGGGUUCUGAGAGGAAGGUCCCCCACAUUGGUACUGAGACACGGACCAAACUCCUACGGGAGGCAGCAGUGAGGAAUAUUGGUCAAUGGCCGAGAGGCUGAACCAGCCAAGUCGCGUGAGGGAUGAAGGUUCUAUGGAUCGUAAACCUCUUUUAUAAGGGAAUAAAGUGCGGGACGUGUCCCGUUUUGUAUGUACCUUAUGAAUAAGGAUCGGCUAACUCCGUGCCAGCAGCCGCGGUAAUACGGAGGGUCCGAGCGUUAUCCGGAUUUAUUGGGUUUAAAGGGUGCGUAGGCGGCCUUUUAAGUCAGCGGUGAAAGUCUGUGGCUCAACCAUAGAAUUGCCGUUGAAACUGGGGGGCUUGAGUAUGUUUGAGGCAGGCGGAAUGCGUGGUGUAGCGGUGAAAUGCAUAGAUAUCACGCAGAACCCCGAUUGCGAAGGCAGCCUGCCAAGCCAUGACUGACGCUGAUGCACGAAAGCGUGGGGAUCAAACAGGAUUAGAUACCCUGGUAGUCCACGCAGUAAACGAUGAUCACUAGCUGUUUGCGAUACACAGUAAGCGGCACAGCGAAAGCGUUAAGUGAUCCACCUGGGGAGUACGCCGGCAACGGUGAAACUCAAAGGAAUUGACGGGGGCCCGCACAAGCGGAGGAACAUGUGGUUUAAUUCGAUGAUACGCGAGGAACCUUACCCGGGUUUGAACGCAUUCGGACCGAGGUGGAAACACCUUUUCUAGCAAUAGCCGUUUGCGAGGUGCUGCAUGGUUGUCGUCAGCUCGUGCCGUGAGGUGUCGGCUUAAGUGCCAUAACGAGCGCAACCCUUGCCACUAGUUACUAACAGGUAAAGCUGAGGACUCUGGUGGGACUGCCAGCGUAAGCUGCGAGGAAGGCGGGGAUGACGUCAAAUCAGCACGGCCCUUACAUCCGGGGCGACACACGUGUUACAAUGGCGUGGACAAAGGGAGGCCACCUGGCGACAGGGGGCGAAUCCCCAAACCACGUCUCAGUUCGGAUCGGAGUCUGCAACCCGACUCCGUGAAGCUGGAUUCGCUAGUAAUCGCGCAUCAGCCAUGGCGCGGUGAAUACGUUCCCGGGCCUUGUACACACCGCCCGUCAAGCCAUGGGAGCCGGGGGUACCUGAAGUCCGUAACCGCGAGGAUCGGCCUAGGGUAAAACUGGUGACUGGGGC